Molecule: ribosomal RNA, 195 nt
Filed under: Triticum aestivum (bread wheat)
Lineage: Eukaryota; Viridiplantae; Streptophyta; Magnoliopsida; Poales; Poaceae
Description: partial small subunit ribosomal RNA
Source: RNAcentral
AUGUGUAUAAACAAGGAGCGAGUGUUAAGAUGCUACAAAUUGAUUCAGGACAAGAUAGCAAUGGGAACCACGGUCAUCAAAUCGGUUGGAUCAUCAAUGUUCUAUGUGCCGCAAAGCCCGAUAGGCGUGUUGGAUGCUGAUGUAUGUCUCAGCCAACAGAGUGAUGAUACUGUUGUUGGAUCUCCAGCAACAUGA